Molecule: non-coding RNA, 163 nt
Organism: Triticum urartu
Lineage: Eukaryota; Viridiplantae; Streptophyta; Magnoliopsida; Poales; Poaceae
Source: RefSeq, a predicted model, not a curated record
GGUGGCCAUGGUUUGAAGACUGAGUUUUCAAAACCGAAUCUGAUGUCCAGUCUACAUUUCACGGUGACAACAACGUUCUACUUCUACUGCAGCAGGACGAGAUGACUGCUCCUGCUGGGUAUAACACUCUUGGUCGUAUUCUGGCGCCGCUGGCCAGAGAAGC